RNAcentral lists this ribosomal RNA (468 nucleotides) under uncultured bacterium. RNAcentral describes it as "partial 16S ribosomal RNA". It matches the Rfam family "Bacterial small subunit ribosomal RNA", at positions 28 to 507 of the family's 1533-position model. The record is from RNAcentral.
GACGAACGCUGGCGGCGUGCUUAACACAUGCAAGUCGAACGGACAGGCCCUGCUUUUGUGGGGUGCUCGAGUGGCGAACGGGUGAGUAACACGUGAGUAACCUGCCCUUGACUUUGGGAUAACUUCAGGAAACUGGGGCUAAUACCGGAUAGGAGCUCCUGCUGCAUGGUGGGGGUUGGAAAGUUUCGGCGGUUGGGGAUGGACUCGCGGCUUAUCAGCUUGUUGGUGGGGUAGUGGCUUACCAAGGCUUUGACGGCUAGCCGGCCUGAGAGGGGGGCCGGCCACAUUGGUACUGAGAUACGGCGCAGACUCCUACGGGAGGCAGCAGUCGGGAGUAUGGCACAAUGGGCGGAAGCCUGAUGCAGCAACGCCGCGUGCGGGAUGACGGCCUUCUGGGUGUAAACCGCUUUCGCCGGUGACGAAGCGUGAGUGACGGUAAUGGGUAAAGAAGCACCGGCUAACUACGUG